Molecule: non-coding RNA, 952 nt
Organism: Paramisgurnus dabryanus
Lineage: Eukaryota; Metazoa; Chordata; Actinopteri; Cypriniformes; Cobitidae
Source: RefSeq, a predicted model, not a curated record
GCAGAGGCGAGGUGGAAGUCGGCGGACCUUAUUCCAGCUAAUAUCCAGCGUCUCCAGUGUGCCGAGUUUGCCGACGUGGUCAGACACUUCACUGAUGGCCCUUGUGGUCCAUGGCGAGUCAAAGCAUUUCCCUAAAAUGUUUACAAACAACUCGAUCUUAGAAGACGUCCCUGGGAACUUAAACCAAAAGCUGCUGGCCACCAUAAAGAUCAUGCUGUGGAUGACAACCAGGUGACUGCAGUCCACAUCUUCUCUGGAAGCAUCUGUGACUCGAUUUGGCAGACAGGAAAUCUUGUCCUGAGUCAGCUGAGGAGAGAACAAAAUGUACUUUUGAUAUAACAGCUGAAAAAUCCUCAAAGAUGAAUGUGUGUUUCUGCCACAACAGGCAGGUGCAAGAUUAAAGAUAUAGUCAAAGACUUUUGCACCCUAUCAGCAUCACUCCAGAAACCUGGAAGAAGGACCCUGAUAAGUUAGUUUACGUCAUUCAUCAAGGGCUUAAUAUAGUUGUGUGUAGGUCCUACGGUGACAAUGGAGGCUACGUGUCGGUUUUCAUAUACUUGUGUGUCGUGGUCUGCGCUGACAUGUGAACACACAUGCAGACUGCUGGUAGGCAGUAUCCACGUGUGUAAUCCACAGUAGCAGCAAAACAGCAAAAGAAACAGCAGCUUGGCCAGAAAAACUCACAAAGAAGCAGCAGCAGCUUGUCGUGUAUGAUUUGAGAAGACCAGCAGUGAUGGAAGUAAAAUUACUCCUCAACUUGACCCAUCUUUGUACAUCACAAGCAGAAAUACCUAUGAAGGAAUACGACGCAGAUAUUUUUCUACACAUCUGCGUCAACAUUUAUCAAAACACCACUGAUCUACUGGCCGUCGUUCAACGUGAUGCCCGGCCGAUGCCUGACCAACGACCACCGACGGAACCCGUUUAUUCUCCUUAUCCGUUUACAAACCGU